Molecule: long non-coding RNA, 513 nt
Organism: Peromyscus californicus insignis
Lineage: Eukaryota; Metazoa; Chordata; Mammalia; Rodentia; Cricetidae
Exons: 3
Source: RefSeq, a predicted model, not a curated record
GGCCCCGCCGCCCCCCGCCCUGCCCCCCGCGGGCCACCGGGUCCGGGUCGCCGCCGGGGCUCGGUCAGCCGGUACCUUCAUGAAGGUCUCUACCGCGCCUUUGGCCGUGUCCAGAGCUCAUGGCUGGAUCAAUGCACGCAUGUGCUCCCCCUGUGACACUGAGAUGGUCAUCGCUGAGAAGGAAUAAACUGUUCCAAAGCCAGAAGAAGAGGUGGCACAGAAGGAAGAGUCAUCCUAGAAGAAAGUGACGGAGCUGGAACUUACAGCAUGGGGAUAGCUUCAGCGGGAAAGACAUGCAAAUAAAAGAAACGUGAUGAGGUCAGUCUGCUUUGUCCACUGCAGGAUCACUGAGCCCCACUUUGUACAUUUGCCUCAAUAAGCAUUUCUUGAACAAAUCCAGAUUUGCCUCUGAAUUGUCUGAAAGCAGCUCCUAAGGCAGACUGCUCUAUUUUCUCUGAACAUCCGUAGUUUUUCUCUUGCUAUGAUGUGUAUCCAGAUUAAAACUGUGACAGU